Tupaia belangeri chinensis (Chinese tree shrew) is the source of this 1371-nucleotide long non-coding RNA. RefSeq lists it as uncharacterized. The record is from RefSeq and is a predicted model, not a curated record. The transcript is spliced from 4 exons. NCBI's taxonomy places the organism in Eukaryota, Metazoa, Chordata, Mammalia, Scandentia, Tupaiidae.
AAAAGAAAGAAAAAGACCCCGUUGGGUGCCUGUCUCUCUUGCUGGUGUGGAAUGCCAGCAACGUACCAGGCGCGGUGCCACACGUUGAAGAAACAGCCAUGUGUCACCACGGGCACAGGCCUGGGCCUUGUGGAGCUCUGGUCCAGUGCAGGGAGUCGAAGGUCAUAGGAUACUCACACAAGUAAGUGCGAAGCCGAGACUGAGAUGGGAAGACAGCCGGUCACACGGGCGGGGAGCGUGUGGGGCUCGAAUCAGCAAGCCUGGACAAGUCCUCGGAACCCACACCCCAGUGGGACCUGGGGGAAGGGCAGAGCCUUGAGCCCUGAGGAGCAGGACGGUCCGUCAAGGACUCCCGCUUUCAGGGUCCUCUCUGGACCUGUGCCACUCAGCGUGGGGGCCAGGAAUCUGACCCUGAUGCAGCCUUGAGAGAGGCCCCAUUCCAAAGGUACCAGCACAUCCGACAGCCUCUGUCCACCCAUGGGGCCUGGCCAAGUGUCACUAAUCGUCGGUCUCCUCUUCAGUGGGCGUGACAAGUCCCUGGCAGAGUGUGAAGACGCCGUCCCACAGAGGGAGGCUGAAGAAAAGAUGGCAGAGGGCAGGGUUUUCAAUGGAGUGACGAGAGCUGAAGCUGGAAAACGGGGUCUUGGCGACAGGCAGACACACAGCGGCCGCGGCGUCCCUGCAGGGUGAAGCCAGCCCACUGCCGAGCGUCGGGUUAUUCUGGAAAUAAAGGCAGAUCCAGGGCCUACCGCCUAGGGCUGAUGGGGACCCGGGCAGCCACCCCAGGCCUGCCAUGCCAGCGUCUGCAGCCCUCGCCUGCGUCAGGACUCCAGAGCCAAGAUCCUAACCCAGACACAUGGACUCUGGCAGUCCCUGCUUGUCUCAGGACCAUCUGUUCUGAGGUGCCGCCAUGACGAUUGGCUCCUGGGGCAAGAUCAUCUCCCUGAGGAAGCAAACUGACAUGCCAGUCUCCUUUCGUGCCACGUACCAGCUCUGAAAAUCGGGACAGGUAACCAACUAUCUCUGAGCCACGUUUUCCUCAGCCACAAAAUGAUUUUCCUGGGACCGUUGAAGAAGUUACUGGUCUACCCCAGGCAAAGCUCACAGAGGAGCACCUGGCGUGCAAUGGACAUACCCAAGAUGCCCCUCCAGGUCUGCUCUCCUCUCAUGACUCAACUUCCACUUUCCCCUUUCUCCUGAUGCCUCCAAUCAGGGCAUUUCUAACCUUUCUGGUGACCCUGAAGACUCCCCAAAUGGCAUAACGGUGGACUCCACACAAAACCUCAGGGAAGCAACCAUCAUGAAUAAGGGGAGGAUAGUCUGGGCAUUCUGAGGCUAUUCAAAGCCAUUCAAGACCUUCCUCAGUGAAAG